GGCUGCGCACUCGUACUCGCCGCCGUGGCUUCCCAUGGCGCCUGCCACGCUCAGGGUGCUGUUGUUGCUCGACAGGCCGAUGUUGAGGGCCCCCGGGGGCGCGCGCCAGCUGAUCUGGGCUGGAGGCCAGGCCUCCGCGCGGCAGGUCAACGUGAAGUUUCCGCCUGGGCGCACGCCUCCAGGGGGCGAGGCAGCAAGUUCCGCCACCACUGGCCGGUCUGAAGGGCACAGAAGGUGAAGUGGGGCUUAGCGCCGGCCCAGCCACUGAUCAAAUGCCCUGCUCCGGCCCACAACGAUCGAUGGGAGACCACCGCGCCUCUGAUGGGCAGAAGAGGAUCCUGCCUCCUAUCAGAGCCUCCUUCCCCGACAAUCAGGCUGCUGUUGCGGCUAAAAUUCCUCGCCCUUCUUCACCGAAUGGAAGGAGGUGAAGCCCAGGCUGGAAUUCCCUGUCCCCGAGAAUGGGAUUGGGAGAGGUGCCCUUGAAUGCUCCCACCGCUGCGAGUCAUUCUUCCGAGGACCGUGUCCCCUCCAUCCGGUGCUGCCCCCACUCACAUUCCACGCCCACAGUGACGGUCCGGGAGUCCGUGCCAUGCGCAUUGGUGGCCACACAGUGGUAAGUGCCCGCGUCCUCUCGGGACACGCGCUGCUGCUCAGGCCAUGGGAUGCCUUCCCGAGAGCAGCGCACUCCUGGGGAAGGGCGACCCCGGGCGGCGCAGGCCAGCGCGGAAGCCUCAGCCCCUUCCAGCCACGUCUGGUGACUUGGGCAGGUAGAUUCAUCCAUCUCCGGUGGCGCUGCAAAGCAGCCAUGGGGGAUGUCAGGGAGUGCCUGGACCGUGGGGCACCCCUGCUCCCUACCCGCCUGGGCCUCGCUCACACUCCGCGCUCACGACGACUGUUUUGGCCACGGAGCCGUGGCGGUUGGUGGCGUUGCAGACGUAGAUACCGG
This 946-nucleotide long non-coding RNA is filed under the name Pan troglodytes (chimpanzee). Its description in RNAcentral is "long non-coding RNA NONPTRT008361". The record is from RNAcentral. Lineage: Eukaryota; Metazoa; Chordata; Mammalia; Primates; Hominidae.